This is a long non-coding RNA of Drosophila pseudoobscura, 794 nucleotides long. RefSeq lists it as uncharacterized. NCBI's taxonomy places the organism in Eukaryota, Metazoa, Arthropoda, Insecta, Diptera, Drosophilidae. The record is from RefSeq and is a predicted model, not a curated record. The transcript is spliced from 2 exons.
UUCAGAUUUUAAUUCGUUGAUGGUAACAGGUCUGAUUUUUUGUUCGUCUGGUCUAUCGCUACUUUGCAGCACUGAUUCAAUUUCCUCCCUGUCUUCUAGAUCUGCCGUGAUUCCGAGAAUGAGAUAAGUAAUGUGUAGAAACUGGCUGGAUAUUUUUUUUUUUUAAGGCUCGUUUGUUCGAUUUUUUUUGGAAGUGUGUUUGUCGUGUGAGCAUUAUUGGAAGACUAACUUCCUGAAGGAGACCAGUUUUUACACACCUUGCAUUAGCAAGGGGGGAAAGGGGCCGUCAAUAAGAAAUAUCCGUUUUAUUUGCAUUUAUACUCUUAAAUUAGCGUAUUUAACAAAAUUUCUUGGCGCCAACUACUUACUUUACAUUUUCCAUGUAGUUGCAAUGUUUUUAGCUGAAAAAUGGGAUGCUAACACUAGUUGCAGUAAGGGUAGGUAUUUGGUAUUUUUCCAUGUAAGCAUUUUGAGUGAAAAAAGGUUUGGUAACACUAGGACUUAACAUUAACAUGUGUUUUGUAAGGGCUAUUGUGUUGCCUUACAGACGAUAGUUUUAUCUUUAACAGUUUUUACAUUAUACAUUUUACAUUACAUGGGAGCUAAGAGUGAGAGUCCAAGUCGGCGACGGUAGCCUAAGGGCCCGGUGAUGUUGAGGGACAAACGGGUGACAGCCGGCAACAUCCAGAGGCCAGGCAGAUGCAUGAGCAACUCUAGCGCCACCGCUCCUAUACGCCAUCUACUUAUUUGUAUAUGUAGUAAAUUCAAAUAAUACAUAACAUAUUUUACAUGUA